This 497-nucleotide ribosomal RNA is filed under the name uncultured bacterium. RNAcentral's name for it is "partial 16S ribosomal RNA". It matches the Rfam family "Bacterial small subunit ribosomal RNA", at positions 28 to 507 of the family's 1533-position model. The record is from RNAcentral.
GAUGAACGCUGGCGGCGUGCCUAAUACAUGCAAGUCGAGCGAACAGAUGAGGAGCUUGCUCCUCUGACGUUAGCGGCGGACGGGUGAGUAACACGUGGAUAACCUACCUAUAAGACUGGGAUAACUUCGGGAAACCGGAGCUAAUACCGGAUAAUAUAUUGAACCGCAUGGUUCAAUAGUGAAAGACGGUUUUGCUGUCACUUAUAGAUGGAUCCGCGCCGCAUUAGCUAGUUGGUAAGGUAACGGCUUACCAAGGCAACGAUGCGUAGCCGACCUGAGAGGGUGAUCGGCCACACUGGAACUGAGACACGGUCCAGACUCCUACGGGAGGCAGCAGUAGGGAAUCUUCCGCAAUGGGCGAAAGCCUGACGGAGCAACGCCGCGUGAGUCAUGAAGGUCUUCGGAUCGUAAAACUCUGUUAUUAGGGAAGAACAAAUGUGUAAGUAACUAUGCACGUCUUGACGGUACCUAAUCAGAAAGCCACGGCUAACUACGUG